This 465-nucleotide ribosomal RNA is filed under the name Vreelandella stevensii. Its description in RNAcentral is "partial 16S ribosomal RNA". It matches the Rfam family "Bacterial small subunit ribosomal RNA", at positions 338 to 795 of the family's 1533-position model. The record is from RNAcentral. Lineage: Bacteria; Pseudomonadati; Pseudomonadota; Gammaproteobacteria; Oceanospirillales; Halomonadaceae.
CCUACGGGGGGCAGCAGUGGGGAAUAUUGGACAAUGGGCGAAAGCCUGAUCCAGCCAUGCCGCGUGUGUGAAGAAGGCCUUCGGGUUGUAAAGCACUUUCAGUGGGGAAGAAAGCCUUGGGGCUAAUACCCUCGAGGAAGGACAUCACCCACAGAAGAAGCACCGGCUAACUCCGUGCCAGCAGCCGCGGUAAUACGGAGGGUGCGAGCGUUAAUCGGAAUUACUGGGCGUAAAGCGCGCGUAGGCGGUCUGAUAAGCCGGUUGUGAAAGCCCCGGGCUCAACCUGGGAACGGCAUCCGGAACUGUCAGGCUAGAGUGCAGGAGAGGAAGGUAGAAUUCCCGGUGUAGCGGUGAAAUGCGUAGAGAUCGGGAGGAAUACCAGUGGCGAAGGUGGUCUUCUGGACUGACACUGACGCUGAGGUGCGAAAGCGUGGGUAGCAAACAGGAUUAGAUACCCCAGUAGUC